This is a long non-coding RNA of Homo sapiens (human), 529 nucleotides long. The record is from Ensembl. Lineage: Eukaryota; Metazoa; Chordata; Mammalia; Primates; Hominidae.
GGAGGUGGCAAGCCGGAACAAGGCACACAAAUGCCAGGUGCUCGUAGAGGGCUGGAUACAAUGGGGGCUUCACUACCAGGCCUGUCAGCUGAGUGGAAGGUCAACCAGUCCAACUUCUCAUGUUUCAGAAGAGGAAAGCAAGAUAUGUUUCAAACUUUGAUGAAAAGCAGGGAAGUUUGGGAAGAAAAUCCAAGACUUCUCUGGAGAGAGAUUAUCUCUGUGAAUGUGGUGUAGGCAGCAGGGCACCCCGCCCUCUCUGUUCUUCUUCGGAUACCUUAAGGACAUGAAUGCAAAGCCUGGGGUCUACAUGACAGGCUGAGUCAAUGCUUGGCUGCAUGGGGCUUUAAAGGGGGCCGCCUUCCUUCCAAGGGCCUCAGUUUCCCUAAAUGAGGGAAAUUGGACUAAACCCGCUCUGGAGACUUUUCCAGGGCUGGCAUUCACUGAGACCAUCAGAAACAGUUUUUUCUUCUGACCCUACCCAGAAAACAGAGGAACAUAGAGUUCCAGGUGAGCAGAAGUGGCCUCCCCA